Mytilus californianus (California mussel) is the source of this 208-nucleotide long non-coding RNA. RefSeq lists it as uncharacterized. The record is from RefSeq and is a predicted model, not a curated record. The transcript has 3 exons. Lineage: Eukaryota; Metazoa; Mollusca; Bivalvia; Mytilida; Mytilidae.
AGGUUCUUUCUGCGACAUAUGUUUUCAUGGUGUGGGAAUAAGACUUGGUGGUCUAAUACAGCUAAUAUGUAGGUUAGCAUCACAGCUUGUCUGUAAGGAUUGAGGCUGGAAAUGGCCAUUGGAGCUGACUUUUUAUGGUUACUUUUACUGUGGCUGCAUGUAUGACUACCUGAUGUAACUGUGUAACAGUAAAGAAUGUAAAUCAGAC